GACGGAGGGUGCAAGCGUUGCUCGGAAUCAUUGGGCGUAAAGGGUGCGUAGGCGGCUUUUUAAGUCUGACGUGAAAGCCCAAGGCUCAGCCUUGGAAGUGCGCCAGAAACUGAAAGGCUUGAGUGCCGGAGGGGAGAGUGGAAUUCCUGGUGUAGCGGUGAAAUGCGUAGAUAUCAGGAGGAAUACCGGUGGCGAAAGCGACUCUCUGGACGGUAACUGACGCUGAGGCACGAAAGCGUGGGGAGCAAACAGG
RNAcentral lists this ribosomal RNA (253 nucleotides) under uncultured bacterium. RNAcentral's name for it is "partial 16S ribosomal RNA". It matches the Rfam family "Bacterial small subunit ribosomal RNA", at positions 524 to 776 of the family's 1533-position model. The record is from RNAcentral.